GGUUAGUAACGCGUGGGAACAUACCCUUCUCUACGGAAUAGCCUCGGGAAACUGAGAGUAAUACCGUAUAAGCCCUUCGGGGGAAAGAUUUAUCGGUGAAGGAUUGGCCCGCGUAAGAUUAGAUAGUUGGUGGGGUAAUGGCCUACCAAGUCUACGAUCUUUAGCUGGUUUGAGAGGAUGAUCAGCAACACUGGGACUGAGACACGGCCCAGACUCCUACGGGAGGCAGCAGUGGGGAAUCUUAGACAAUGGGCGAAAGCCUGAUCUAGCCAUGCCGCGUGAGUGAUGAAGGUCUUAGGAUCGUAAAGCUCUUUCGCUAGGGAUGAUAAUGACAGUACCUAGUAAAGAAGCCCCGGCUAACUCCGUGCCAGCAGCCGCGGUAAUACGGAGGGGGCUAGCGUUGUUCGGAAUUACUGGGCGUAAAGCGUACGUAGGCGGAUCAGAAAGUAUGGGGUGAAAUCCCAGGGCUUAACCCUGGAACUGCCUCAUAAACUCCUGGUCUUGAGUUCGAGAGAGGUGAGUGGAAUUCCAAGUGUAGAGGUGAAAUUCGUAGAUAUUUGGAGGAACACCAGUGGCGAAGGCGGCUCACUGGCUCGAUACUGACGCUGAGGUACGAAAGUGCGGGGAGCAAACAGGAUUAGAUACCCUGGUAGUCCACACCGUAAACGAUGAAUGCCAGUCGUCGGGCAGUAUACUGUUCU
RNAcentral lists this ribosomal RNA (701 nucleotides) under uncultured bacterium. RNAcentral's name for it is "bacterial SSU rRNA". It matches the Rfam family "Bacterial small subunit ribosomal RNA", at positions 105 to 842 of the family's 1533-position model. The record is from RNAcentral.